Molecule: long non-coding RNA, 186 nt
Organism: Pteropus alecto (black flying fox)
Lineage: Eukaryota; Metazoa; Chordata; Mammalia; Chiroptera; Pteropodidae
Exons: 3
Source: RefSeq, a predicted model, not a curated record
GGUUGGGGCGGGGGCCAAGCGAGAGGGCGACGGGGUCGGAGGAGAGCGGCGACUCGGAGGAAAGAUGAGGCGGACUUCACUUUAUUGACAUUUCUUUCUGUCAUAACUUCCGCAGACGACCACUCUCACUGGAUUAGCCCUACUCUGUGCUCCUUUACCAAUCUAUGAAAAGCAGUUCCUUAUUAG